Long non-coding RNA from Panicum virgatum (switchgrass), 947 nucleotides. RefSeq lists it as uncharacterized. Lineage: Eukaryota; Viridiplantae; Streptophyta; Magnoliopsida; Poales; Poaceae. The record is from RefSeq and is a predicted model, not a curated record. The transcript is spliced from 2 exons.
CGGGCGGCCGCCGCCGCAGGCGCAGUCCUACUCCGACCACUCGGAUUUCCGCCGCGAUUCCUCCUGUUCGCUCCGUCCUUGCGGUACGUUCCAGAUCUCAGUGAUUAAAUCCUUCAGAUUGCGCAGCCGUUCUCAGAUUUGAUGCUCACCCUUUCAUUCCUGUUCCGUGCCGGGCCUCCGUGCCUUCUUCUCCGCGCCGGCGCUGUCCCCGGCGGUCUGUGAAGUGGGAUUUUCUGCGUGGUGGUUCCCCUGCUUGGAGCGUCGCACGAAGCUUGCGUCUACUCUUCGCGUCAGCUCGCAGUGGCGCUUGACAUGUGAGUGCACAUUGGUGGACCCGUUCAACUGGACGGACGCAGAGAAGACACAACGGCAGCUCGUGUAAGGGGGAAGGGCCGGAGGGGCACGACGAAGGUGCCGCAGCUGCAGUCUUCUUUUCGCUCCAAUAAUAGGCCGUAAUGUUGUACAUGCUCUGCAUGGUCAUAGAUUCGUCUUCAGCAGGCGAGCCAUCUGGCGGCAACCCCGCCAUUGCCAAUUGACGUCGGCAUCAUCUCGAUUUGCUCGCAUUUGCCUCAACCUAUCACCGUCAAGCUCCUUCCCAUGAGCAACAUCCUACGGCAGGCCAGCAGCAACGUCUCCACGCACGCUGGUGGAGUCUGUCUGCCUCAAUUCAGCUAAUCAGGCGUGUGCCAACCGAUCAUAUUUGCUCCUCACGGGUCCGCUACCAGUUCUGGGUACAAUUAGCCCCCCUCCCUCCUCAAAUGGUGUAGUAGUGGAUUCAAAUAGUUCAUGUACCCUCUUUUGUUUCUCAAAUUAAUCUGCAAUUCUUAUCCGUAGCCUUUUGUGUGCCCAUAAUUUUGAUCCCUAUAAUUUCAUUUACCUCUGUUUGGCCGAACAGGGAGAACCAACAUUUACAUAAGAAAAAGUUGCAGAUAUCAAAUGUUUGCGUA